RNAcentral lists this long non-coding RNA (382 nucleotides) under Gossypium barbadense (sea-island cotton). RNAcentral's name for it is "long non-coding RNA (GBAR_LNC021633)". Lineage: Eukaryota; Viridiplantae; Streptophyta; Magnoliopsida; Malvales; Malvaceae. The record is from RNAcentral.
GAUUCGAUUACAUCUAGAGGAGGUAUUGUAUUAGUUUCCAGUAUAAGCAGUAACACUUAUUUAGUUGCUGAAUUGUUGACAUAUUUUGGUUGUGAUAGCAGACAAUGUUUCUUGCUUUGACCAACAGAACCAAAUGGCAGUAAAUGACUUCUCAAAUUAUGUAAGCAGAACCAUUUCAUAGCUCUUAAGUUCUUAUAUAUUUUAAAUUUGCUUUUGUUAGUUUUUCUUUUCUUUUCUUAUCAGGCAACCUGUUAGGGUUGUAUGUUGGCUAAUAGCUUCUUUGCAUGCCUGUAAUACUGAAAGACUUUAUGCAUGUUGUGUAGAAGGCAGAAACUGAAAAGAUGGACUUUAAACUAAUUUUUAGACCUCCUUGGCAUUUAUG